GCGGGCAUGGUUAAGUGGUAUAACACGUCCUUGCCAAGGAUGAGUCGGGAGUUCGAUUCUCCCUGCCCGCA
Molecule: transfer RNA, 71 nt
Filed under: Candidatus Kaiserbacteria bacterium
Lineage: Bacteria; Candidatus Kaiseribacteriota
Also listed under: 1 other name
Description: tRNA-Gly
Rfam family: tRNA
About the family: Transfer RNA (tRNA) molecules are approximately 80 nucleotides in length. Their secondary structure includes four short double-helical elements and three loops (D, anti-codon, and T loops). Further hydrogen bonds mediate the characteristic L-shaped molecular structure. tRNAs have two regions of fundamental functional importance: the anti-codon, which is responsible for specific mRNA codon recognition, and the 3' end, to which the tRNAs corresponding amino acid is attached (by aminoacyl-tRNA synthetases). tRNAs cope with the degeneracy of the genetic code in two manners: having more than one tRNA (with a specific anti-codon) for a particular amino acid; and 'wobble' base-pairing, i.e. permitting non-standard base-pairing at the 3rd anti-codon position.
Source: RNAcentral